AACGAACGCUGGCGGCAGGCCUAACACAUGCAAGUCGAACGCGUCCUUCGGGACGAGUGGCAGACGGGUGAGUAACGCGUGGGAACGUACCCUUUGGUUCGGAACAACAGCGGGAAACUGCUGCUAAUACCGGAUAAGCCCUUCGGGGAAAGAUUUAUCGCCAGAGGAUCGGCCCGCGUUAGAUUAGCCUUGUUGGUGAGGUAAUGGCUCACCAAGGCUACGAUCUAUAGCUGGUCUGAGAGGAUGAUCAGCCACACUGGGACUGAGACACGGCCCAGACUCUUACGGGAGGCAGCAGUGGGGAAUCUUAGACAAUGGGCGCAAGCCUGAUCUAGCCAUGCCGCGUGAGCGAUGAAGGCCUUAGGGUUGUAAAGCUCUUUCGUGGGGGAAGAUAAUGACGGUACCCCAAGAAGAAGCCCCCGGGCUAACUCCCGUGCCAGCAGCCGCGGUAAU
This 453-nucleotide ribosomal RNA is filed under the name uncultured bacterium. RNAcentral's name for it is "bacterial SSU rRNA". It matches the Rfam family "Bacterial small subunit ribosomal RNA", at positions 29 to 524 of the family's 1533-position model. The record is from RNAcentral.